AAGAAAGUAAUAAAGGGCGUAUGGGGGAUGCCUAGGCUCUUGGAGGCGAAGAAAGACGUGGUAAGCUGCGAUAAGCCUCGGGGAUUUGCAAACGAGAAUUGAUCCGAGGAUUUCUGAAUGGGACAACCCGGCAGGCAGAAGGCCUGUCACACGAAAGUGGGCCAACCCUCUGAACUGAAACAUCUUAGUAGGAGGAGGAAAAGAAAGAAACAUCGAUUUCCUAAGUAGCGGCGAGCGAACGGGAAACAGCCUAAACCACAAUUGUUACGGCAACUGUGGGGUUGUAGGACUGCAAUAUUCAAAUGACUGUGAACUGGAAUGUUCUGGAAAGUUCAUCCAUAGAGAGUGAAAGACUCGUACAGGCAAGCACGUCAGGCGAUAGCAGUAUCCUGAGUAGGGCGGGACACGAGGAAUCCUGUCUGAAUCCGCCGGGACCACCCGGUAAGGCUAAAUACUCCCAAGAGACCGAUAGUGAACCAGUACCGUGAGGGAAAGGUGAAAAGAACCCCGAACAGGGGAGUGAAAUAGAACCUGAAACCAUACGCUUACAACCUGUCGGAGCGGCUUCGUGCCGUGACGGCGUGCCUAUUGAAUAAUGAGCCUACGAGUUACUAAUCACUGGCAAGGUUAAGUGCACGGAUGCACGGAGCCGAAGCGAAAGCGAGUCUGAAUAGGGCGUUUAGUCAGUGGUUGUAGACGCGAAACCUUGCGAUCUACCCUUGAGCAGGUUGAAGGUUGGGUAAAACCAACUGGAGGACCGAACGAAUAAGCGUUGAAAAGCUUCUCGAUGACUUGAGGGUAGGGGUGAAAGGCUAAUCAAGCUGGGAAAUAGCUCGUACUCCCCGAAAUGCCUUUAGGGGCAGCGUUGUAAUUAAGAGUCUACUGGAGGUAGAGCUACUGAUUGGAUGCGGGGGCUUCACCGCCUACCAAAUCCUGACAAACUCCGAAUGCCAGUAGUAUGAUUUACAGCAGUGAGCGACCGGGUGCUAAUGUCCGGUUACGAGAGUGGAACAACACAGACCAGCAACUAAGGUCCCCAAGAGUAUACUAAGUUGAUCUAACGAUGUUUUGCUGCAGAGACAGCUAGGAUGUUAGCUUGGAAGCAGCUAUUCAUUCAAAGAGUGCGUAACAGCUCACUAGUCGAGCGGCAAAGCGUGGAUAAUAAACGGGCAUCAAGUAUACCACCGAAGUUCUGGGCACGAAAGUGCGGUAGGGGAGCAUUCCAUUCCGCGUUGAAGCCGAACCGUGAGGUUUGGUGGAGUGUAUGGAAAAGCAAAUGUAGGCAUGAGUAACGAUAAUGCGGGAGAGUAACCCGCACACCGCAAGACCAAGGUUUCCUGAUCAACGCUAAUCGGAUCAGGGUUAGUCGGGUCCUAAGGGUAAGCCGAACGGUGAUCUCGAUGGAUAAUCGGUUAAUAUUCCGAUACUGACAUAUACCUCGAUGGAGAGACGAAGGAACGUAAGUGCCGCCACCUGACGGAAUAGGUGGUUAAAGGGCUUAGGUAUAGGGGCAGAUUAAGAGUUAGUCCUUGCUGAAACCUGACAGUACAGAGAGCCUACGGGCAAUUUGAUAGUGCACCCAAGUCGACUUCCGAGAAAAUCUUCUAAGUUAUAGUAUAUGUCACCCGUACCGUAAACCGACACAGGUGGUCGAGGAGAGUAUCCUAAGGUGCUCGAGUGAAUCACGGUUAAGGAACUAGGCAAAUUAACCCCGUAACUUCGGGAAAAGGGGUCCCAUCGCGAGGUGGGCGCAGCGAAGAGGUCCAGGCGACUGUUUAUCAAAAACACAGGGCUCUGCAAAUUCGAAAGAAGACGUAUAGGGCCUGACACCUGCCCGGUGCUGGAAGGUUAAGAGGGGAUGUCAUCGCAAGAGAAGCAUUGAAUCGAAGCCCCAGUAAACGGCGGCCGUAACUAUAACGGUCCUAAGGUAGCGAAAUUCCUUGUCGGGUAAGUUCCGAC
This 1959-nucleotide ribosomal RNA is filed under the name Proteus mirabilis. RNAcentral describes it as "partial 23S ribosomal RNA". It matches the Rfam family "Bacterial large subunit ribosomal RNA", at positions 1 to 1987 of the family's 2925-position model. The record is from RNAcentral. Lineage: Bacteria; Pseudomonadati; Pseudomonadota; Gammaproteobacteria; Enterobacterales; Morganellaceae.